Erinaceus europaeus (western European hedgehog) is the source of this 335-nucleotide unclassified non-coding RNA. Its record names the gene 7SK. It matches the Rfam family "7SK RNA". Rfam says of the family: 7SK was discovered as an abundant small nuclear RNA in the mid-70s but a possible function has only recently been suggested. Two independent studies have found that 7SK RNA binds the CDK9/cyclin T complex (known as elongation factor P-TEFb). P-TEFb activates transcription by phosphorylating the C-terminal domain of RNA polymerase II. The record is from Ensembl. Lineage: Eukaryota; Metazoa; Chordata; Mammalia; Eulipotyphla; Erinaceidae.
GGAUGUGAGAGUGAUCUGGCUAUGACAUCUGUCACCCCAUUGAUCGCCAGGGUUGAUUCAGCUGAUCUGGCUGGCUAGGCGGGGGUCCCCUUCCUCCCUCACUGCUCCAUGUGCGUCCCUCCUGAAGCUCAGUCGAAGAGGACGGCCUUCCCCCAAUACAGACGGACCGAUCAAGGGUAUACUAUUGUAUUGGUCGAGGGUAUACUAGCAGCUGCGCUCCCCUACUAGAACCUCCAAACAAGCUCUCAAGAAAAGAAAACUAGUAAGAGGCUAAGAUUCAUGCCCAAAAACUCCAUCCAGUUUUAGGGAAUCUACUUUAAACUAUUCUUACAUCU